This 241-nucleotide long non-coding RNA is filed under the name Vigna radiata. RNAcentral's name for it is "long non-coding RNA (VRAD_LNC004476)". Lineage: Eukaryota; Viridiplantae; Streptophyta; Magnoliopsida; Fabales; Fabaceae. The record is from RNAcentral.
UAAAAUAAAAUAAAUAAAAUAUAAAAAUAAACAGAAAAAGAGAGAAAAUAAAAUAACAUAAAAUAACAUAAAAAUAAACAAGAGAGAAAAUAAAUAAAUAGGUAAAUAAAAACAAAAAAAAAGGAUAAAUACAGAAGAUUAAAAUAUUCGAAAAAGGGAAAAGAAAAAUAAAAAAAAAUAUUUAUCUGUGCUUUUAAUUUUUUACUUUUUUUUAAAAAAGAAAAAUUGGACUAUCCGGACG